UGGGGAAUAUUGCACAAUGGGCGCAAGCCUGAUGCAGCAACGCCGCGUGAGGGACGACGGCCUUCGGGUUGUAAACCUCUUUUAGUAGGGAAGAAGCGAAAGUGACGGUACCUGCAGAAAAAGCACCGGCUAACUACGUGCCAGCAGCCGCGGUAAUACGUAGGGUGCGAGCGUUGUCCGGAAUUAUUGGGCGUAAAGAGCUCGUAGGCGGUCUGUCGCGUCUGCUGUGAAAAACCCGAGGCUCAACCUCGGGCCUGCAGUGGGUACGGGCAGACUAGAGUGCGGUAGGGGAGAAUGGAAUUCCUGGUGUAGCGGUGGAAUGCGCAGAUAUCAGGAGGAACACCGAUGGCGAAGGCAGUUCUCUGGGCCGUAACUGACGCUGAGGAGCGAAAAGCGUGGGGAGCGAACAGGAUUAGAUACCCUGGUAGUCCACGCCGUAAAACGUUGGGCGCUAGAUGUGGGGACCAUUCCACGGUUUCCGUGUCGCAGCUAACGCAUUAAGCGCCCCGCCUGGGGAGUACGGCCGCAAGGCU
This 533-nucleotide ribosomal RNA is filed under the name uncultured bacterium. Its description in RNAcentral is "partial 16S ribosomal RNA". It matches the Rfam family "Bacterial small subunit ribosomal RNA", at positions 355 to 895 of the family's 1533-position model. The record is from RNAcentral.